RNAcentral lists this ribosomal RNA (253 nucleotides) under uncultured bacterium. RNAcentral describes it as "partial 16S ribosomal RNA". It matches the Rfam family "Bacterial small subunit ribosomal RNA", at positions 524 to 776 of the family's 1533-position model. The record is from RNAcentral.
UACGUAGGGGGCAAGCGUUGUCCGGAUUUAUUGGGCGUAAAGAGCGUGUAGGCGGCCAGGUAGGUCCGUUGUGAAAACUGGAGGCUUAACCUCCAGCUGUCGAUGGAAACCAUCUGGCUAGAGUCCGGAAGAGGAGAGUGGAAUUCCUGGUGUAGCGGUGAAAUGCGCAGAUAUCAGGAAGAACACCCGUGGCGAAGGCGACUCUCUGGGACGGUACUGACGCUGAGACGCGAAAGCGUGGGGAGCGAACAGG